This 1462-nucleotide ribosomal RNA is filed under the name uncultured bacterium. Its description in RNAcentral is "bacterial SSU rRNA". It matches the Rfam family "Bacterial small subunit ribosomal RNA". The record is from RNAcentral.
GACGAACGCUUGCGGCGUGCCUAAGAAAUGCAAGUCGAACGGGGGCUUCGGCCCCAGUGGCGAACGGUCGCGUAACACGUAAGCAACCUGCCCUGAAGUGGGGGACAACAUCCCGAAAGGGGUGCUAAUACCGCAUGUGGUCACGAGUCGGCAUCGACUUGUGUCUAAAGAUUUAUCGCUUCAGGAUGGGCUUGCGGCCUAUCAGGUAGUUGGUGGGGUAAUGGCCUACCAAGCCGACGACGGGUAGCUGGUCUGAGAGGACGAUCAGCCGGAUUGGGACUGAGAUACGGCCCAGACUCCUACGGGGGGCAGCAAUUAGGAAUCUUGCGCAAUGGGGGCAACCCUGACGCAGCGACGUCGCGUGAAGGAUGAAGGCCCUCGGGUCGUAAACUUCUUUGAGUGGGAAGAAACCCUCGGGUCGUAAACUUCUUUUGAGUGGGAAGAAAUUUGACGGUACCACUCGAAUAAGCCCCGGCUAACUACGUGCCAGCAGCCGCGGUAAUACGUAGGGGGCGAGCGUUGUCCGAAGUUACUGGGCGUAAAGCGCGCGUAGGCGGUUAUUUAAGUCUGGGGUGAAAGGUUCAGCGCUCAACGUGAACAGUGCCUUGGAUACUGGAUGACUUGAGUCUGGGAGGGGGAAGGGGAAUUCCUGGUGUAGCGGUGAAAUGCGUAGAUAUCAGGAGGAACACCGGUGGCGAAGGCGCCUUCCUGGCCUAAGACUGACGCUGAGGUGCGAAAGCGUGGGGAGCAAACGGGAUUAGAUACCCCGGUAGUCCACGCCGUAAACGAUGAGUGCUAGGUGUCGGGGGUAUCGACCCCCCCGGUGCCGUCGCUAACGCAUUAAGCACUCCGCCUGGGGAGUACGGCCGCAAGGUUGAAACUCAAAGGAAUUGACGGGACCCCGCACAAGCGGUGGAGCAUGUGGAUUAAUUCGUCACUAACCGAAGAACCUUACCCAGGUUUGACAUCGAGGGUAAGACCAUGAAAGUGGUUCCUCUAGCAAUAGACCCGAAGACAGGUGUUGCAUGGCUGUCGUCAGCUCGUGUCGUGAGAUGUUGGGUUAAGUCCCGCAACGAGCGCAACCCUCACCGUAUGUUGCCAGCGUAAAGUCGGGAACUCUUACGGAACUGCCCGUGCAAGCGGGAGGAAGGUGGGGAUGACGUCAAGUCGGCAUGGCCCUUACACCUGGGGCUUCACACAUGCUACAAUGGGCGUCAACAGAGGGGUGCAAGGCCGCGAGGUCAAGCAAAUCCCAAAAAUACGUCCUCAGUUCGGAUUGCAGGCUGCAACUCGCCUGCAUGAAGCUGGAAUCGCUAGUAACCGCAGGUCAGCUAUACUGCGGUGAAUACGUUCCCGGGGUUUGUACACACCGCCCGUCAAGUCACCUGAAUUGUCUGCACCCGAAGCCGGUGGCCUAACCGUAAGGAAGGAGCCGUCUAAGGUGUGGGGAGUAAGGGGGACU